ACUGGGUAGAUGUUUAAUGUCUUGUAAAAAUCUAAAUGUUUCGGUUUUGCUUGAUGACCAAGGUUAGCUCACAUGUGUUCUUCUGAAUGUGAUCUUUAAGAGUUGGGCAAUACGGGUGCCUGGAAGGACCCCUAAGUUCACAGAGUCUUAAAUUAGUGAUUGGCUAAGGUAACAUGAUGGCUAGAGAAAGAUGGAUGCUGGGCUCUGCUCCCCAUCCCUGCUCACAGCAAGCGGGGACUUCAUUCCGGGCUUUACUGAGACCUCAGCCGAAAGCUUAUACGUGUUCAUCGGAUCAAAUGUGAGUGUGGGGGGAACCACGAGUCAGAAGGUCCGGGCAGAGAUGCGAACAGACACAGUACAGGAAGGUGACUCCCAGAGCAGUGUGUAUAGUAAGAAAUGGGGUGUGUGAGAAGACACAGGCAUCGGUAUUCAGACUUCCAUUGUGAUGUGUAGAGUCAUUUUUUCCAGUGAGCAGCGUUAGAGCGACGUCAUAAUCAACACGCGGAUAGCUACGUGUCUCACACUGCUGGCUACCACACUUGUAGAAGCCACAAGGUCCCAGCGCAGGACAGGCGCUCCACACCACAGAGGCCCGCAGUGUACUCCAGCUGCUCUGGCUGCUUUUCAGAGUAUUCCUCCAUCCAAUCAGAAAGCCGUUGGUCUCUCUCAGAAGAGUCAGGCCAUCAUUGCACCAGUGGGCCCACCUUGCCUGGAAAAUUGGACUCUAGCAGCUAAGAUCUAUAGUCUUCUAACGAUUGGUACUGCAGCUCAGCUAUACAUGAUGAUCAACUUUAGCAAAAGUUUCCCCGUUAUGUCCAUGAAGAUUAACAGAUGAGCCUGAACAAACUUGGGCAUUGAGUCUGCCUGCUGAGGGGACCAAGGGUGUGGACUGCUCAAGUUCCUGCUCACUGAUGUGAUGGCAUUUGGAGUGGCAUGUUGGCUGUUCCAGUAGCGUUUGCUCUUUGCAGGCCUUUCUGGAUUGGGAACUUCUGGAGAGUAGAGACAACAAACAAAACAAAAGGGUGAUUUCACCCAUCCUGCUCCUUCCCAGACACAGUAGACAUAGCGGGCAGCAUACGUGUGUGGUCUUCCUCACUCUAAGGAAUUCUCCAUCAGACAUCAGGAUAUCCUCUAAUGUAAUUCAGGCCAGACACUAUCUGUCUGGAGGAGAAACUGUCCAAUCCCACUAGGCAAGGCCUCGGUACUUAAAACUGCCUCCCUUUCAAAUGCCAGUCAAGUAAUGAAUUAUGAGCUGGACUGACCUGCAAUAAAUCAGAUUUCUAAGACCUGUUUGUAGGGUUCAAUUGACUUGGCAGAGCGGUGUCCUGGUUAGGUUUCUACUGUUGUGAUAAAACAC
RNAcentral lists this small RNA (1357 nucleotides) under Rattus norvegicus (Norway rat). RNAcentral describes it as "uncharacterized LOC108350397". The record is from RNAcentral. Lineage: Eukaryota; Metazoa; Chordata; Mammalia; Rodentia; Muridae.